RNAcentral lists this ribosomal RNA (482 nucleotides) under uncultured bacterium. Its description in RNAcentral is "partial 16S ribosomal RNA". It matches the Rfam family "Bacterial small subunit ribosomal RNA", at positions 30 to 507 of the family's 1533-position model. The record is from RNAcentral.
AUUGAACGCUGGCGGCAUGCCUUACACAUGCAAGUCGAACGGUAACGGGCCUUCGGGUGCCGACGAGUGGCGAACGGGUGAGUAAUACAUCGGAACGUGCCCGAUCGUGGGGGAUAACGAGGCGAAAGCUUUGCCAAUACCGCAUACGAUCUACGGAUGAAAGCAGGGGACCGCAAGGCCUUGCGCGGACGGAGCGGCCGAUGGCAGAUUAGGUAGUUGGUGGGAUAAAAGCUUACCAAGCCGACGAUCUGUAGCUGGUCUGAGAGGAUGAUCAGCCACACUGGGACUGAGACACGGCCCAGACUCCUACGGGAGGCAGCAGUGGGGAAUUUUGGACAAUGGGCGCAAGCCUGAUCCAGCCAUGCCGCGUGCAGGAUGAAGGCCUUCGGGUUGUAAACUGCUUUUGUACGGAACGAAAAGCCUUCUUUUAAUACAGGAGGGUCAUGACGGUACCGUAAGAAUAAGCACCGGCUAACUACGUG